UACGUAGGGUGCGAGCGUUAAUCGGAAUUACUGGGCGUAAAGCGUGCGCAGGCGGUCAUUUAAGCCGGACGUGAAAUCCCCGGGCUCAACCUGGGAAUGGCGUUCGGGACUGGAUGGCUUGAGUGCGGCAGAGGGGGGUGGAAUUCCAGGUGUAGCAGUGAAAUGCGUAGAUAUCUGGAGGAACACCGAUGGCGAAGGCAGCCCCCUGGGCCAGCACUGACGCUCAGGCACGAAAGCGUGGGGAGCAAACAGG
Molecule: ribosomal RNA, 253 nt
Filed under: uncultured bacterium
Lineage: Bacteria
Description: partial 16S ribosomal RNA
Rfam family: Bacterial small subunit ribosomal RNA
Source: RNAcentral